Molecule: long non-coding RNA, 379 nt
Organism: Rosa rugosa (rugosa rose)
Lineage: Eukaryota; Viridiplantae; Streptophyta; Magnoliopsida; Rosales; Rosaceae
Exons: 4
Source: RefSeq, a predicted model, not a curated record
UUCAGUUUGCUAUGUCUAUGUGUGGUUUUGUAUUUGUAAUUGAAGCACUUAGUGUUUGCUCUUACUGUGUUUGUCUUGGCUCUAAUUUGAAUAGAAAACUAAGGAAGAGAGGGAGAGGCAAAUUGGGUCAAACUAGAUAUAUCAUGGAAUAAGCACAGAGGAGUUUAGUUAGCUAAAAGGGUGAACGCUGGAAACAUUUAUAUGGUACUGCUGGAAACAUUUAUAGGUAUGAGGAACUUGCUUCUAACCCUAACAUGGAGUACAUUGCUGGAGGUGCUACUCAAAACUCCAUUUGAGUUGCCCAGUGUACACGAACAAAACAUGAACUUUUGGAACUCAUGUGGUUUUAUAACUUGCAACAAGUUAUUUUAGUUUUCCA